AUUGAACGCUGGCGGCAGGCUUAACACAUGCAAGUCGAGCGGUAACAGAGAGAAGCUUGCUUCUCUGCUGACGAGCGGCGGACGGGUGAGUAAUGCCUAGGAAUCUGCCUAGUAGUGGGGGAUAACUUGCCGAAAGGUAAGCUAAUACCGCAUACGUCCUACGGGAGAAAGAAGGGGACCUUCGGGCCUUUCGCUAUUAGAUGAGCCUAGGUCGGAUUAGUUAGUUGGUGAGGUAAUGGCUCACCAAGACCGCGAUCCGUAACUGGUCUGAGAGGGUGAUCAGUCACACUAGAACCGAGACACGGUCCAGAUUCCUACGGGAGGCAGCAGUGGGGAAUAUUGGACAAUGGGGGGAACCCUGAUCCAGCCAUGCCGCGUGUGUGAAGAAGGUCUUAGGAUUGUAAAGCACUUUAAGUUGGGAGGAAGAGCAGUUAACUAAUAUUUGACUGUUUUGACGUUACCGACAGAAUAAGCACCGGCUAACUUCGUGCCAGCCGCCGCGGUAA
RNAcentral lists this ribosomal RNA (506 nucleotides) under uncultured bacterium. RNAcentral's name for it is "partial 16S ribosomal RNA". It matches the Rfam family "Bacterial small subunit ribosomal RNA", at positions 30 to 523 of the family's 1533-position model. The record is from RNAcentral.